UUGCACGCUGGCGGCAGGCCUAACACAUGCAAGUCGAGCGGAUGAAGGGAGCUUGCUCCUGGAUUCAGCGGCGGACGGGUGAGUAAUGCCUAGGAAUCUGCCUGGUAGUGGGGGAUAACGUCCGGAAACGGGCGCUAAUACCGCAUACGUCCUGAGGGAGAAAGUGGGGGAUCUUCGGACCUCACGCUAUCAGAUGAGCCUAGGUCGGAUUAGCUAGUUGGUGGGGUAAAGGCCUACCAAGGCGACGAUCCGUAACUGGUCUGAGAGGAUGAUCAGUCACACUGGAACUGAGACCCGGCCCAAACUCCUAGGGGAGGCAACAGGGGGGAAUUUUGGAAAAGGGGCGAAAGCCUGACCCAACCAGGCCGGGUUUGUGAAGAAGGUCUUCGGAUUUAAAAACCUUUUAAGUUGGGAGGAAGGGCAGUAAUUUAAACCCUUGGUUUUUUAACGUUACCAACAGAAUAAGCACCGGCUAAUUUUGU
Molecule: ribosomal RNA, 482 nt
Filed under: uncultured bacterium
Lineage: Bacteria
Description: partial 16S ribosomal RNA
Rfam family: Bacterial small subunit ribosomal RNA
Source: RNAcentral